This 253-nucleotide ribosomal RNA is filed under the name uncultured bacterium. RNAcentral describes it as "partial 16S ribosomal RNA". It matches the Rfam family "Bacterial small subunit ribosomal RNA", at positions 524 to 776 of the family's 1533-position model. The record is from RNAcentral.
UACAGAGGAGCCAAGCGUUGUCCGGAUUGACUGGGCGUAAAGCGCACGCAGGCGGUUGCGCGCGUGGGGUGUGAAAUCUGGCCGCUUAACGGCCAGGCGCCAUCCCAUACGGCGCGACUGGAGUGAUGCAGAGGUCGAUGGAAUUGCCGGUGUAGUGGUGAAAUGCGUAGAGAUCGGAAAGAACACCAACGGCGAAAGCACUCUGCUGGGCCGACACUGACACUGAGAGACGAAAGCUAGGGGAGCAAAUGGG